Molecule: long non-coding RNA, 851 nt
Filed under: Homo sapiens (human)
Lineage: Eukaryota; Metazoa; Chordata; Mammalia; Primates; Hominidae
Description: non-protein coding lnc-SIN3A-5:3
Source: RNAcentral
GGGAGCACAAAGAGGGGCACAGGGCCACCAAGUGGGUCUUGGAUCUGCCCUCCAGGUGUGGGCCCAUCGCUGGAUGGAUCUGUCAGAACACGGCUUUGGGCUGGCCCUGCUCAACGACUGCAAGUAUGGCGCGUCAGUGCGAGGCAGCAUCCUCAGCCUCUCGCUGUAAGUGGGGUACCCACCAGGCCUGGGAGCUGGCAUGGAGAAAUGGGUCUUCCCGACCACAACUCCAACAGCUUCAGCGUGGCCCCUACGCGCCCUCCUCACCCCAGCUUGCGGGCGCCUAAAGCCCCGGACGCUACUGCUGACACGGGGCGCCACGAGUUCACCUAUGCACUGAUGCCGCACAAGGGCUCUUUCCAGGAUGCUGGCGUUAUCCAAGCUGCCUACAGCCUAAACUUCCCCCUGUUGGCUCUGCCAGCCCCCAGCCCAGCGCCCGCCACCUCCUGGAGUGCGUUUUCCGUGUCUUCACCCGCGGUCGUAUUGGAGACCGUCAAGCAGGCAAGGGCAGCCCCCAGCGCCGCUCGCUGGUCCUGAGGCUGUAUGAGGCCCACGGCAGCCACGUGGACUGCUGGCUGCACUUGUCGCUGCCGGUUCAGGAGGCCAUCCUCUGCGAUCUCUUGGAGCGACCAGACCCUGCUGGCCACUUGACCCUUCGGGACAACCGCCUGAAGCUCACCUUUUCUCCCUUCCAAGUGCUGUCCCUGUUGCUCGUGCUUCAGCCUCCGCCACACUGAGUCCCUGGGGCUGGGGUUUUGUUUGUAGAAGGCUCUGGGGACUCCUAAUUUCUGCUUCCCCAGCCUAAAGCAGGGAUCAGUCUUUUCUUGUGGAAUAAAUCCUUGGAUCGGGAA